This 663-nucleotide ribosomal RNA is filed under the name Rhodobiaceae bacterium. Its description in RNAcentral is "bacterial SSU rRNA". It matches the Rfam family "Bacterial small subunit ribosomal RNA", at positions 1 to 698 of the family's 1533-position model. Lineage: Bacteria; Pseudomonadati; Pseudomonadota; Alphaproteobacteria; Hyphomicrobiales; Rhodobiaceae. The record is from RNAcentral.
UCAAACUUAAGAGUUUGAUCCUGGCUCAGAACGAACGUUGGCGGCACGCUUAAUACAUGCAAGUCGAACGAGAAGCUUGGUUCGCCAAGUGGAAAGUGGCAGACGGUUGAGUAACGCGUGGGAAUCUACCUAGAGGUUCGGAAUAACUAUUGGAAACGAUAGCUAAUACCGGAUACGCCCUUCGGGGGAAAGAUUUAUUGCCUUUAGAUGAGCCCGCGUCGGAUUAGCUUGUUGGUAAGGUAACGGCUUACCAAAGCAACGAUCCGUAGCUGGUCUGAGAGGAUGAUCAGCCAGAUUGGGACUGAGACACGGCCCAGACUCCUACGGGAGGCAGCAGUAGGGAAUAUUGCGCAAUGGGGGAAACCCUGACGCAGCGAUGCCGCGUGAGUGAAGAAGGCCUUAGGGUUGUAAAACUCUUUCAGUGGUGAAGAUAAUGACGGUAACCACAGAAGAAGCUCCGGCUAACUCCGUGCCAGCAGCCGCGGUAAUACGGAGGGGGCAAGCGUUGCUCGGAAUUACUGGGCGUAAAGCGAGCGUAGGCGGUUAAUCAAGUUGGUGGUGAAAGCCCAGAGCUUAACUCUGGAACUGCCAUCAAAACUGAUUGACUAGAGAUUGGUAGAGGAAAAUGGAAUUCCUAGUGUAGAGGUGAAAUUCGUAGAUAUU